This 227-nucleotide long non-coding RNA is filed under the name Elaeis guineensis (African oil palm). RNAcentral's name for it is "long non-coding RNA (EGUI_LNC000980)". The record is from RNAcentral. Lineage: Eukaryota; Viridiplantae; Streptophyta; Magnoliopsida; Arecales; Arecaceae.
CUCACCAGUAUGGCUUUUAAUCACUUUCUCUUCUGUGCAUGUGACAUAGCCUUUUGGAAGCAUUCUGGUUCUCCUCCAUAAAUAACCAUCAUAUAUUCAUUCGGAGGAUAUCUUUGAGAAGACUGAUACCUUUUGGUAAAUUUUCUCAGCUACUAUUCUAUCAUUUGCUAUAUAGAAGCUUGCUCACCAUGCUCAUCUGAUACACUGUCACUACGUGUAGGCUCAUC